This 466-nucleotide ribosomal RNA is filed under the name uncultured bacterium. Its description in RNAcentral is "partial 16S ribosomal RNA". It matches the Rfam family "Bacterial small subunit ribosomal RNA", at positions 28 to 522 of the family's 1533-position model. The record is from RNAcentral.
GAUGAAUGCUGGCGGUGUGCCUAACACAUGCAAGUCGAGCGGUAACAGAUCUAGCUUGCUAGAUGCUGACGAGCGGCGGACGGCUGAGUAACGCGUGGGAACAUACCCCAAAGUGAGGGAUAACCGCCCGAAAGGGUGGCUAAUACCGCAUAUGGUCUUCGGAUUAAAGGAUUUAUCCGCUUUGGGAAUGGCCUGCGUACGAUUAGAUAGUUGGUGAGGUAAUGGCUUACCAAGUCUACGAUCGUCAACUGGUUUGAGAGGAUGAUCAGUCAGACUGGAACUGAGACACGGUCCAGACUCCUACGGGAGGCAGCAGUGAGGAAUCUUCCACAAUGGGCGAAAGCCUGAUGGAGCAACGCCGCGUGCAGGAUGAAGGCCUUCGGGUUGUAAACUGCUUUUAUAAGUGAAGAAUAUGACGGUAACUUAUGAAUAAGCACCGGCUAACUACGUGCCAGCAGCCGCCGUA